GACGAACGCUGGCGGCGUGCUUAACACAUGCAAGUCGAACGAAGUGGCGAACGGGUGAGUAAAGCGUAAUCAACCUGCCCUUCAGAGGGGGACAACAGUUGGAAACGACUGCUAAUACCGCAUACUGAAGGAGGGGAUUGCGUCUGAUUAGCUAGUGGGAGGGGUAACGGCCCACCAAGGCGAUGAUCAGUAGCCGGUUGGAGAGGAUGAUCAGCCACAUGGGAACUGAGACACGGCCAAACUCCUACGGGAGGCAGGAGUGGGGGAACUUUCGCAAUGGACGAAAGUCUGGCGGAGCAACGCCGCGUGAGUGGUGAUGGCCUUCGGGUUGUAAAGCUCUGUUAAUCGGGACGCGGUACCGGAAUAGAAAGCCACGGCUAACUACGUGCCAGCAGCCGCGGUAAUUC
RNAcentral lists this ribosomal RNA (407 nucleotides) under uncultured bacterium. Its description in RNAcentral is "partial 16S ribosomal RNA". It matches the Rfam family "Bacterial small subunit ribosomal RNA", at positions 28 to 526 of the family's 1533-position model. The record is from RNAcentral.